Long non-coding RNA from Dermochelys coriacea (leatherback sea turtle), 10084 nucleotides. RefSeq lists it as uncharacterized. The record is from RefSeq and is a predicted model, not a curated record. The transcript is spliced from 4 exons. NCBI's taxonomy places the organism in Eukaryota, Metazoa, Chordata, Testudines, Dermochelyidae.
AAUUCACCGGUGAAUAAAACGUUCCUCCAGUUUUUAAAUAGCCUUAUUUUUUUCUUUCCCUUUCCCUUUUGUUAAAUUAAUCAUUUAAAUUGGUGGCAUGACUUUUUUUUUUUUCUUUUUUUUAGGGGAAGGUGCUGGGAGCGGGGAGAAGGGAGGAGUGGGUGCCUUGAUAGUUUUCAUUGUGACUUCUGGAGAGUUGGUCUCUUUCAAGUUGUUCACAUCUCAGCAUGUGGAAUUAUUGUGCUUUCUUCCGAUUUGCCACAGAAUUGACAGUAGCCCGACACUAAAACUUAUUUGGGUUUGAUUUGAUUUUUUUAUCUAUGUAUUUCUGACCAGGGUUUUUAAAAAAAAAAAAAAAAAAAAAAAAAAAAAAUUGUGACAAAUUGUCUUCUCAACCCUCAUAUUCCUCCCCUCCUCUGCCCCCAAUACAUUUUUUUAGUUGUCUACUGAAGAAUAAAACCCCCCAUAGGAGGGAGUGACCUUUUAGUGAUCAAGGUAUGUUGGAUUUUUUUAAGUUGUGUGUUACUAUGUUAAUAGCAUGAGGAAGAGACAGGACUUGGGGAGGUGGGGGGUGAAUGAAUUACCCUAGAAAUGCUAUACCUUGAAAUAACUCAAGGGAAAAUAGUUGCUCCCUCACUUGAGCUGCUUUCAAAAUCUUGCUGUGCGUUUUUUUUUUUUUUUUUAAGAAAAGCUUUCCAUAGAGGGGGAAAAAAAAAAAAAAAAAAAAGGAAACCAAGCCAGAAAAAUUUUGAAGGCUUGAUCUUGGCUUCUAUACAAACAGAUGUUGCCUGUCAUUCCGUUGUUAAGCAGGCACCAGAUUGGAGCAAGCAGCAGUUUAAGAGGAACUGCAGCGGAGUUUGGAAAAUGGGAGGGAAAUAUAUGUAUAUAUGAUUUUUUCUAUACUGCACAUAUAUAUUUUCCCCCCCAGAAUUAACUUUACUUAUAACAAGUAUAUUUUAUUUUUUAUUUUAUUUUUGUAUUUGUUUUUUAGUGGGAAAAACAAACCCAAAAUAAAACGGAAAAGCACUAGCAACUCUGACCCAAAUUUUACCAAAACAGCUUCUUUUUUUUUCCACGUAGGUGAACAUGUAUAGAAAAGGGGGUUCUGUUGGAAAAUGCUUAAGGCAUUCUCGGUAAGUGAAUGUUUAUAAUGGACUAGGUCAGGAUUCUGUCGUGGUUUUUCUUUUUUUUCCUGCUGCAAACCCCGUUUCUGAUGGGUUUGCCACUAAAUUCUCUCUGUAAGUUUAAUUGUGAAGGUGGAAGGCCUUUUUGUCGCCUUUCCAAGUUUUAGCAACAUUGUAAGAACAAGAAUCACAUUGUUUAUACAGUAGAAGUUCUAACGAAACAUGGAUGCUCUCCAUAUUGUCGCUCUUUUGUGUGCUGCAUGCGCUCGCGGAUUUAAUCCCCCGGUUUCUUAUGCUUUUUUUUUAUUCCCCCUUCUUUUUAUUUUCCGCUUUCUAAUCGAAUAGUGGCAUGCUCAAGAGAAAACAUGAGGGGGUUUGAGCCGAAAGAGUUAAAGGUUUCUUGGCACCAGAGCAGCAGUUUAGCAACAGAUCAAUUCAUUUAAAUGAAAGAAAUCACCGACCAAGCCAUCUGAUUUUGAAAUUUCGUGUCUUAUACUUCCACUUUGGAACAAAGCUUCCAUUUUCUUCCCCCCCUCCCAUUAAUCUUCACUGCUUCUGUUUAACUCUGUUGCUUUUGAUAGGAACUUUAAGUUAUCAGUCACUUUUUUCUUUUAAAAAAUGUGUAUAUUUAUUUUUUCAUUUGGCAUUUGUACAUGCUGCACUUAGCACUUCUGUAAAUAAUCACCCUUACACCUCAGACCAUCCAAUAACUGUUAUUUAUGGCAGAGUUUUUUUUCCACAUUCUAAUUUUAUAUUUGGAAAUAGUCAAUUUUUGCAUGAUCUAACUUUCAAACUAUAUAAACUAUCUGCCACCCAAGUACUAUGUAAAAUAUCCGCCUGUAUCUAUCUAUCGAUUGCUAUACACAUACUGUAUAAAUACAUCUAUGUGUAGAUAUGUCUGUAACUCAAGAGAUACCUGAAAGAUUAUUUGAUGGUGAGCAAUAUCUUUAUAUACAGAGCUAUUUUAUAUAUACUCAUUGUAUAUUUCUCCAAUAUAUCUGUCUGUCUAUACCCAGAUCUAUUUAUAUUCUUACUGUAUAUGUGUGUAUGUAUGCAUAUACCCACACAGACAGGAAGGAUUAUAUCAUUCAAUAACUAGAUUACUAUAUAUUCAGCAUGUUCCAUUGAGCCAUUUCUUUCACGGCUAUUUAAAGCUUCAAAAGAAUGAAAAGCAAUUUUUUGGUUCAUGUAGCGUAUUUGAUCAUAAAUAUAAGUUCUUAUUUUUGUUGCUAUAUUAAGUAAAAUAAAAUAAAAUAAAAUAAAAGACCUUGGGGGGGGGUUAUUUUGUUUGCUGCCGUCCUCGGUUUAUACAACCUACCAUAAAAAUAGGGUAAUUCCGCUCACAAUAAACAAAUACAUUCGGUGAACGAAUUUGCAGCCCCGCAUUGAAUUUUGAUGGUGGCUUCCACGCUGUGAUGCUGAGUCUGUUCACGGUGGCACUGCAUUAGAAAAAAAAAAAAAAAAAAAAAAAAAGGGCCAUGAUGCUUGGGCAGGAGCAAACUCCUAUCAGCGAAAGCAACGGAAGGGUGGGGACAGGGGAACCUUCUUUUGUUAGGCUAAAAAAAAAAAACCCCAACCUUGAGUGAAGCUUAAAGAGAAAGAAAGAAUAGGAGUGAGCGAGAAAGUGGACAAAAAAUACAAGUAGCAUCCCAUCCCCCUUGCCCCCCACCCCCAGCCACUACAUGACUAGGGUGGAUCACAAAUCUGGACAUUUUAUUGUCUCUUGUUCUUUAACUAGUGUUCCCAGCUGUUUUGUAGGAGAACACCAGGGUGUGGAGCGGAAGGAGCACCCCCAAAAUAUCAGCAAUAUUUCUGUGGGUGUCAUUUUGGUUACAUCACAGCACGCUCCUUCCCCGGCUGUGUUCUUGUGCAAAAUUCAAAUAAUUUUUUUUCCCCUGUUAGCAGCUGUGCAUGGGUUUAAGUCAGUCUUUAACAUUGGGAAAGGAACAAUAAAAUGAAAGGCAAAACCGGCAUCUUAAAACUUGGCAAGGGAAAGCAGCUUGGAAUGGCAGCCAAGAAUCGUGCUGUGGUGCAAAAAGAAUAGCAUCCACGAAACCACCACAAUCAGGGGUUUCUCUUCUUUUACCAAUACCAUCGGCAGAGAGAAAUAAUGAUUUCUAGAAACAGUGUUAAAGAGUCAAAAAAGUUAAAAUGGUUGCUUGAUGAAUCUACUCAGAUGCAGGAUACGUUUGUUGAAGAGUUGGGCCUAGCAAGAUGGCAGCGCAUGUGCAAUAAGUAUUCACAUGAAGUACCACUGCUAAGACAUUUCCCUACACAUCUUCAAAGAACAUACUAAGUUAUGGCAAAAACAGCAAUUGAGAAAUAAGCAGCCCCUCCAUCAACUCAUAAUGCCUCGUGGCACUUGUUGAGACAAGGAAAAGGAAUAACUCCAAUCUCCUACUCAGCAUCACCUCUCUCAGGAAAACAGCCUCUAAUGCUCAAAGCUAGGAUUCUGCCCCAGAUUUUCACAGCUCAAAUGUCUUCUGCACAGUCUCUAACUGUCCUCUUCUUCCAUUAAAACAGAAGGGAAAAAAAGUUGAAAAGCUCAGUGGUAAAAACAAUCAUCAGACCAUUUAUUCUUGAAGGCUUGGAUGUUGCUUGUGCAGCUAUGCUCGAUCUUCAGGAUCAGUUGGGUUUUCCAGUGGUAAAGUAACAGCAAAAGAGCAUGUGGCUAAUAAAUAGACUGAUCACUGAAAUAUACUCAAUGAUUUUUAGUUCUUGAUACAUUCCUGAUUUCUUGAGGGUUUACUUGUGCUCCUUUCAUCAGAUUAGACAUCACCAUCUUCAUAGCCCCAUAUUUUUCUCUGGUAAAUGGACAAUGAUUGCAGUAGAAAGCCACACAUACAAUGGGCCAAAUCCAUCUCUGGUGUAACUAUUUUAGUCAAUGGAAUUGCAUCAGGGUAUGAUUUUGACCCAGUGAUAGUAAAACCAGAUGUUAAGACAGUAAAACAAGAACUGAUCUGCUGGCAGCUUUGAUCCUGCUGACUUUAAUCCUGUUCCAGUGGACUUUUUUUUUUAUGCUAAGAGAAUGUUUGGAGUUAGAUUUAAUCCAUUUCCCAGAAAGCACUAAUGCAAUGGUAUAAAACCAGAAACUUGCUGGUCAAGACAAGAACAAAGAGCUGGAUGUUCAAUAAGCCUUCCUUUGCCUGGAGCAUCUUAGAAAUUGAUGCAAUAUAUGAUGAACACUCAUCUUUGUUUCUGUAAUUUUUCCCUGACAUCAAAUUUCUUUUUUUAUUUACGUUCAAUACUACAUGGGUGAAAGUCACCCAUUGAGCAGAGCACGAGGCCCAUACACCUCAAAAUGGGACUUAGUGCUGCAAAGAUCUUGGGCUGGCCCUCUGCAAAAGGGUGAAUUUUUAUCUCCUGACCAUAGCAAUUACAUAGCCUAUGGCUUCCAGAACCAUUUUUAACCCUCACUGGAAAUGAGUCACCCUUUACCAAGAUUGGAAGCUCAUAGGGGCAGGAAGUGUGUCUGGUGAUAUUUGCCCCUAAUGGUCCAGGUACACCAAUGAUGCCGUAGAAAUAAAAAUAAAGUCAAGUGUCUCGGGCUAAGUGUUUCAUUGUGAGAGCCAGGAUGGGAACUCAAAAGCUGCUGGCUUCCCAUCCUUUGUCCCACACCAGGAGUAGCAUUGACGAUAUAACCUACUUUGAAACACAGCCCAAGACUCAGUUAAGAUUUUGAAGCCACAGAAUAGUUCAUUGCAGUUCACUAUUCAAGUUACUUCAUUUCAUACAAUGGCUUAAAAAGGUCUCAAGCCAGCCUAGUAACUAGUCUGAUUCAAAAGCCACUGACAUGCUUCAGCCCAAAACCUUCAUCAGAAGUCCAAGGAUCAGAUCUUCAGCUGUCACAAUUCUGUUGCUUUCAAUAAUAUUAGGCUGAUUUACACCAGCUGAGGAUUUGCCUGCAUUGAAAAGUUUGGCCAUUUCAGAGUGUGUGGCUUCAUCCCUCACAUUGAUCGCUGAGAUUUUGGACUAAGUUCUGUGCACGUAUCUUCAUGAUUAAGAUGUCAAACAAUUGGAAAGCAAUUCUGGAAACUGCUAAGUAUCAAAUUAAAAGGUUAUUUUUGUACCCACUGUACAUUAUUUCUAUUUGCUUUAACUACUUUGAAAGUGUAAUGGCAGAUAUUCAUGACAGCUAAUCUAUUUUAUGACGUUCUUCUCUCAGGAACAAUUUUGGGGUUUGCCAGUAAGGGUCAUAUUGGGACAGUCCACAGGAACACCUUGGAUUCCUCCGUCAUUGUAUCAGUUUCUGCAGAUUUUUAAGCUUUCAUUUAUUUCAUGUUUUUAGCGGUUAUGGUUGCAAAGAUGACUGUUAAAAUCUGGAACUGAUGCACGGUUUUCUGUAGAUAAAUGGACAAACAGUAGAUCAGACAGGUGUGAAAAUCUUCAGUCAUCUCAGUGAAGAACUCUGAAACAUAAUGACACCAAUUUAAAUGCCAACAUUAAAUAUUUUACUGCCAAUAAUUUUGGCAAAAAAAAUCUAGUUCUUCUGGGAUAGUAGCAAGGCCUUGGGAUUGGAGCUUGAGAGCAGAAUUCUUGGUGGUUCUUGAAUAGAGUCCCGUUGUUUGGUUUUUUUAAUGCCAUACUCUGAUUCAUGUUACCUAGGGUAGAAAUAUGAUUUGAAAACUGAGCUAACCUAAUCUAAAUUGUGCUUAUGUACCAUAGUGAUAGGCACUUUAGAUAGAUUAAAAUAUAGGUAUAUGCCAUAUAUUGGUAGUUGGGAAAUGCAUUUUAUUUUCCAGAAAAAAAAUUCAAAGAGAAAAGUUUUCAUUUUUUUGUCAUUUUCCUCCCUGGUUUUCAUUGUAAAACCAACCCUCUCAAAAAUUCAGUUUUGGAAAACUGGAACAUUUUUGCAUUUUGGUUUUUUGUUGUUGUUACGAAAGCCUGAAUUUUCUCAACAAAACCAGUAUUUUUCUCAUAAAAAAUUGUUGAUUUAAAAAGGCAUUUUUUCAUCCAAUUUUUUUUUGAAUGAAAAAUGUUUGACAAGCUCUAAUGCAAGAUAACUGACUAUGGUCAGUACCUGUAGAUAUCCCUAGAUUACCUGGGGAGUAGUAAAACAUUUGUGGACAAUCAACCUGUGGAACUCAUUGCCAGAAGAUGUUGUGAAAACCAAAAGUAUAACUGAGUUUAAAAAAAAAUUCGGUACAUUGAGGGAAAAUAGGUCCAUCAACGGCUAAUAGUCAAGAUGGUCAGGGAUGCAAGCCCGUGCUUUGGGUGUGCCUAAACCUUUCAUUGCCAGGAGCUGGGGCUCAAUGACAGGGGAUGAAUCACUCAAUAAUUGUCCUGUUCUGUUCAUUCUCUCUGAAGUAUCUGGUGCUGACCACUGUUGGAAGACCAGAUACUGGGAUAGAUGGACCAUUGGUCUGACCCAGGAUGUCUGUUCUUAUGAUAUUGUACAUGUUUAUAUACCCAGCUGUCCCUGAGUUCUAGAUGAGCUUAAAGACCAUGUUUAAUGCUGAAAUUGGAAAUAAACAAGGAUCAUCUGAGAGCAAAAGAGUCAGGUGAUAUUGACCAUGAAAUCUCACUAUGUCAUGUAGGGAGUUGUGGGGAAAAAAGGCAAUGUUUGAGCCAUGCAAUGUUAUAUUUCCAAGUUUGAAAGCAAAAAGCCAGGCAGAAAAUUUCAUUACUGUCUCAGACUGUAUUUUACAGUGUGUGGCUGGUAAUGGUGCAGCUGGCUCCCUCCCACUGAAUACCACGUUACAGAUGCCACAUGAUGCCUGACAUGGGGUAGCAGAGAAAAGAAAACCAUGAGUCUAUCCAUGGAGUCACAUUAUAGUCAGAGAAACACUCUAGAGCUUUUCCAUUGACUGCAGUAGCAGCAGACUUUCUCAAGAGACAAAAUGACUAUUCUAAAUUACUGCAGGGCAUAAAUGGCUUCCUGAAAAUACACACACUGCAAGGAGCCUCUCUACCUGGUGCAGAACUGAUGUAAGAGCUCCAUGCGUGUCCUGCUCUCAGCAUCCCUUGCAGGGGUGCAUGGACUGUCCUGCUCUAUGGUUAUUCUCUGCCUGCCAGGGCCCUUAGAAGGUCUUGGGAAAUGGGGUGAAAGAUGGCUCUGGGCUGCUGUAACUUCAACAAGGACAAACAGGCAUCUAUACCUCUCCAGAAUACAGAGAAUCCAAAGGUGUUUUAAAGCUACCUUUGCUCACAUGCUGUAUCUCUACCCCAUGCUCAAGAACAGAGUAACUGAGACUCAAGCUAGUAAUUGUUUAUAAAGAGAUCCAGCUGCAUCCAUCAAAAAGAGUGGAAUUAGCCUUCCUUAUUGGCGUUGAGUUUGGAACUUUCCCCCUUUGGCAUACGCUAUGCUAAGCAACCCAGCAUAACGACGCCCAAAGCUUUGACUGUUGUGCAGUGUUAUUCGUUAAUUGUUUCAGUGUUUCAUAGUUAUUUUUGUUUUGUGGCUAGUUUUUAAAUAAUUCAAAUCCCAAAACAAAACAAGAAGAAAACUGUUUUCCACUUCCUGUGUGUCUGUCUUUCUAGAACACCAGAUCCAAAUCCCUUCCCAUGUUGGGGCUCUAAAUUUUAAUUUUUGGGACCAGGGCAGUGUCUAUAAGAUGGAUGUAACUCUGAACAUGGAAUCCCAGCACUUCCUGAGUACUGGGCAAAUUUUUGUUUUAAUCUGGAUAUACUCCUCUCAUCUCUGGCCCAUCUCUGUAAAAUGCAUUUAAAACAAAAUAUAGGCUUCAACUCACUUUAAACUUUAGGGGAAGAUCUAGAUCUGAACUUCUGAGAUCAGUCCUAUAGACUAAUUUCUCUUAUAGUCAUAGGCCACAAUCUGGCCUGAAGAGAGUGAGACCCAAUCUAUAAUGGAUCAAAUGUGGGGCUAACUUUUGCCACAUGUAUCCCAUACAGUGCAAACUUUGCUUCACAGAUUUGCUGGCUCUUCGCUCACAGAUCCUGGAGGUUACUGGGAGAAGUAGGAUACGAGUAAGACAAUGUCACUCUUUUCCUAAUUCCAUGUUUGUUGAUUGUCCAGUGGGGAAGUGAAUCUACUUUCCACCACUACCUUGCAUGUCUUGUGUCUGACUCUCUUUGAUGGAAGCAGUAUGAAGAGUCUGAAUGCAGCAGGUAACCAUCUAGGGGGCUUGUGGAAAGAUGAUCACACCUUCAACCGGUGAUUUUGGAUGGGAUGUGGCAUCCUCCAAAGACUGUAAACAGCAAGACAAUGUUCAGUACUUCACAGUGGUUCUUAAAUGUGUCGAUUGUUUAACACUCAUGGGCUGCCAUGUGUGUUUAAGGAUAGGGAUUGGAUCAUGAGUAGGGGAGCUACAAUGCAGAGAGAAAAAUGUUGUGUUACUGUGAGCAUGACUGGGCUAAUGCUUGUAUUAAAUCUUUGAGCAUUCCAAGGGCAAUUUCCAGGAUCCUGAGCAAACUCAGGCUGAGCUGCACGCUCCGGUAUUUGUUAAAACCUCUGUGCCUUUUCCUGACCAGCCUGACUCUUGAUUACUUACUAAACAUUACAAGGUGGGUGGGCAGUGAGUCAUUCAAUGUGCCUACAUAUCUAAUACACAGUACAUCGACAUCCAACCUUCUACAGCACCACUGGGGAAGAAACUGCUUGGAGUGACCUGGGCUGAUACUUGAGAUGUAGGAUUUUACUGGAUUUUAGUGGAACAGGAUUUUCUACCAUGUCCGGCUCAGCACAUAACACAAGAAUAUAAACCCAGGAAGUAAUAUGAAGCAGUAUUAUGUGAUAAGGAAAAUUCCCCUUCCGGUACCAAUGGAUCAGUCCAUCAGAUAUUCCAUUGCACAAGCUGACAUGUCUCUUCUAAAAAUAGACAUCUGAACAUUCAGUCAAUGGAGUAAUCCAAUUGACUGAACAUUCUUGGGUGCUUUAUCAUUUAAAUUGCAAUAAAUCACGGUAUGCCACAUGCUGUAUUGAGUUGCAUCAAGUUACACUGCAGCCAAUAACAUGUGGUAACCAGAUGCAAUCGUGUGCCAUGAUGUAACUGCAUUGAAAAUUCAGUGCAUGCACUGUUUUGUCUAAAAGCUGAAAUAAAAUGGCCCUUUUUAAAAUUAGAAAAAUUUUAUUAAAAUCCCUGCUGGUGUCACAUUUUGACUUAAUUGAUAUUUGUCCUUUCUUAUGCUUUAAUUAGUGAGCCCACAUGACCUGUUCCAAAGCCCAUUGACGUCAAUUGAAAGGCUCCUUUUGACUUCAGUGGACUUUGGAUCAGACCCAUAGAGAGAUUUGCAGUAAGAUAUAAAAGAAUCUCUACAGAGCUGUUCUUAGGGCCUCUGGACUUAUGCAAGAAGACUCUCAGCACUUCCUUGGAGAGAAUGUUCUGCAAUCUAACAGCUCUUGCCAUUAGGAAAAUUAUCCUGAUAUUUAGCCUAUUUUUUCCUUUUCUUAACGAAGAGUAAUGGAAUGACAUUAUCCUAUGUCUCUUAGGUACCUCCGAUUACUCAUAAUUACAUCCCUUUGGACCACCUUAAAUAUUUUCUCUCCCUCCUUAGUUUUGCAUCAGAUAUUUGUACAUAAUGGAUGAGCAUAAUCAUAUUGCUUCCAACAUUGUUGUUCCUUAAACAGGAGAGAAACAUCUAAACAUGAUUGGACCUGAUCCUCAGCAGAUGUAAGCCAUUGUAGCCCCAUUGAAUUCAAUGAUGAAAUCGACUUGUGCCCUUAGCUAAAGACUGGUUGCUCUAGAAAGGGACAUGGGGGAGAGAGACUCUUAUGAGGAUGUAAAACCUUUGAAGUCAAUGGAGCUAUGCUGAUUUACACCAGCUGUGAAUCUGGCCCAGUGCAUUAAUAUACUCGUGUAAACCCAAUAUAUUCCACUGACUUCAGUGUGAUGAUAGCAUUUACAGUGGUGUGAAUGAAACCAGACUCAUGCAUCCUUAGUGGAAUUGUAGGUUGACCUACUGUUGGGGUCAAGAAUCAGAGAGAAGGGGGGAAAUGAGAUCUGGUCACCUUCCCCAUUAUAGGAUCCUUCCAAAGGAGGCACUUUAGAUGAUGGGGAAAA